This 171-nucleotide ribosomal RNA is filed under the name uncultured bacterium. RNAcentral describes it as "partial 16S ribosomal RNA". It matches the Rfam family "Bacterial small subunit ribosomal RNA", at positions 338 to 524 of the family's 1533-position model. The record is from RNAcentral.
CCUACGGGAGGCAGCAGUGGGGAAUAUUGGGCAAUGGGCGAAAGCCUGACCCAGCAACGCCGCGUGAAGGAAGAAGGCCUUCGGGUUGUAAACUUCUUUUAUCAAGGACGAAGAAGUGACGGUACUUGAUGAAUAAGCCACGGCUAACUACGUGCCAGCAGCCGCGGUAAU